AACCGCGGUUAUACGAGGGGCCCAAGUUGAUAGAAUACGGCGUAAAGUGUGAUUAAAGAUAUUCCUACACUGGGGCCAAAUACCCCUUAUGCUGUCAUACGCCAUGGGGGUUAUGAAGCCCAACAACGAAAGUGGCCCCAUAAAUCUUGAACUCACUACAGCUAAGACA
This 169-nucleotide ribosomal RNA is filed under the name Strophidon sathete (slender giant moray). Its description in RNAcentral is "partial 12S ribosomal RNA". The record is from RNAcentral. Lineage: Eukaryota; Metazoa; Chordata; Actinopteri; Anguilliformes; Muraenidae. RNAcentral also lists the same sequence under 1 other name.